GGGGUAAAGGCCUACCAAGGCGACGAUCCGUAACUGGUCUGAGAGGAUGAUCAGUCACACUGGAACUGAGACACGGUCCAGACUCCUACGGGAGGCAGCAGUGGGGAAUAUUGGACAAUGGGCGAAAGCCUGAUCCAGCCAUGACCAAUGUUUGAAGAAGGUCUUCGGAUUGUAAAGCACUUUAAGUUGGGAGGAAGGGCAGUAAGUUAAUACCUUGCUGUUUUGACGUUACCAACAGAAUAAGCACCGGCUAACUUCGUGCCAGCAGCCGCGGUAAUACGAAGGGUGCAAGCGUUAAUCGGAAUUACUGGGCGU
This 315-nucleotide ribosomal RNA is filed under the name bacterium. RNAcentral describes it as "bacterial SSU rRNA". It matches the Rfam family "Bacterial small subunit ribosomal RNA", at positions 254 to 561 of the family's 1533-position model. The record is from RNAcentral.